GUGACUGGCGGGCAGGGCGGUGGGUGCAGGCGUAGGGGGAAAGCGGUGUUCGGAAGUACUGGGCGUAAAGGGGUCGUAGGCGUCCUGUGAAGGCGAACGUGAAAUCCCCGGGCGCAACCCGGGAACGUCGUCCGAGACUGGCAGGCUUGAAUUCGGGAGAGGGAUGGGGAAUUCCAGGUGGAGCGGUGAAAUGCGUAGAUAUCUGGAGGAACACCGGUGGCGAAGGCGGCAUCCUGGACCGAUAUUGACGCUGAUGCGCGAAAGCCAGGGGAGCAAACAGGAUUAGAUACCCGUGUAGUC
Molecule: ribosomal RNA, 300 nt
Filed under: uncultured Rhodothermus sp.
Lineage: Bacteria; Pseudomonadati; Rhodothermota; Rhodothermia; Rhodothermales; Rhodothermaceae
Description: bacterial SSU rRNA
Rfam family: Bacterial small subunit ribosomal RNA (bases 52-300)
Source: RNAcentral